GACGAACGCUGGCGGCGUGCUUAACACAUGCAAGUCGAACGGAAAGGCCCUGCUUUUGUGGGGUGCUCGAGUGGCGAACGGGUGAGUAAAACGUGAGUAACCUGCCCUUGACUUUGGGAUAACUUCAGGAAACUGGGGCUAAUACCGGAUAGGAGCUCCUGCUGCAUGGUGGGGGUUGGAAAGUUUCGGCGGUUGGGGAUGGACUCGCGGCUUAUCAGCUUGUUGGUGGGGUAGUGGCUUACCAAGGCUUUGACGGGUAGCCGGCCUGAGAGGGUGACCGGCCACAUUGGUACUGAGAUACGGCCCAGACUCCUACGGGAGGCAGCAGUGGGGAAUAUUGCACAAUGGGCGGAAGCCUGAUGCAGCAACGCCGCGUUCGGGAUGACGGCCUUCGGGUUGUAAACCGCUUUCGCCUGUGACGAAGCGUGAGUGACGGUAAUGAGUAAAGAAGCACCGGCUAACUACGUG
This 468-nucleotide ribosomal RNA is filed under the name uncultured bacterium. RNAcentral describes it as "partial 16S ribosomal RNA". It matches the Rfam family "Bacterial small subunit ribosomal RNA", at positions 28 to 507 of the family's 1533-position model. The record is from RNAcentral.